GUCAUAUGUCAGUACAAUAUGUAAAUCAAUCAGUCACUAUCUUGAUCAUUUUCCGAUUUGUCAGGAGGCAAAUGGUGUCUCCAAAGAAAGUACAUGUGCAGACAGCAUGAUAAUUUAGACUGCAGAAAAUUGCACAAGCAGUUUAUCUAACUCAUAUUGCAGAAGUGAUAAAGGGCGUGUGUGACAACUGAGGGUAUCCUUUUGUAACGUUUUGGGCCAGGGGUGGGUACUUUUUUUUAAUUGAUAUUUGAGUUUGGGUAAAGAUUUUCUUAACUUUUAAUGGUCGGACCGUGGUAACAUUUUUACCAAGAAAAUAUUUCUCUUCGGUGCCACAGUACGGUGAAAAUGUACAACUCCAAUAAUUAAGACAUCUCAAAACGACCUAUAACCUAUAUCAAGAUUAAUAGUGCGUUUCCGUGUGGAGUGCAUAUUGAACGGAUUGUGGAGUAAACAUUACUAGUAGUACAGUUUCGAUCUUGGAAAUAGGACUUGAAACCAGCAGCUCCAGUAAUUUCUAUUACCACCUCAUAAAUAUUUUCAAGAUAUAGUAGUGGCGAAUGCAACUUAUGUACAGUAUACUAGCUGCCACUGUUUUGUGAUGUUCUGUUUGGUUGCAUUGACUGUGAAAUACUCUCCCAUACGAAAAAAUCCUUUAUGUAUUUCAAUAGGAAUUCCUAUUGAAUUUUGGUCCAAUUCCAAUGGCAUAUAGUAAGAAUUUCUCAGAAUAAGGACCUACGGGAAAAGGAAAAUAAUUAGAUGUUGUCCCAUUUCUAAACGAAUUCCCGUAGGAUUUUUUCGUAAUGGAUUUAUUGUUGUACAUAGUAAAAAUAAAGAAGCUCAACAAUGGAGUCAACAUAUUUUAAUGCAUAUUAUGUCUUGUUAAUAAUAAAUUAUAUUUGUCUUUUUUUCCUAGAUCAAUGCUAUUCUGGUGAUCAAACAGUGAAAACAUUCGAUCGUUUUGGUAAAAGCAGUACAUGUAUAACUGGCGGAUUUAAACUAUGUACACCAAAUCCUGAUAACCUUUGUAUAGGACAGUGUUCUUCAAUCUAUGUCUAUAAGUUUAAAGGUAUGAGUGGCAAAGGCCAUGUUACACAAGGCAAUUUUUGCUGCAACUUGCAGUGUAAUUUUUUGACAUGGAGCCAUAUAUAUUAAUUACCUAAAACGGUGGACACAGGGACUUAAUUGUGAGAAUGGCCAAAGGUUUAUUCUGGCGACAUAUUUCAUCCCAUUCUUUCAUUUUUCAUCCCCUAAAGGCGGUUUUCCACUAGACGACAUUUUUCGACCGAAUCGAAAUUUCUUUUUGUUUCAUGAGCUCUCGAGCAGAACUAAUUGUAAAAAGACAAAGAGAAAUUUUGUUUCGGUCGAAAAAUUCCGCCUCGUGGAAUCAGGCCUUAAGAGUACGUUUUGCAAAGAAAGUAUCGUAGAAUUCGGGCCAGGGUCGUGCGCAGUGGGGAUGGGGGGGGGGGGAGGCAGAAGGGCACCUUCUAACUUAUUAAUUUUAUGUUAUAAAUUAUUAUAUUAUUUUAAAUUAUUAUGAUCUCGUAAAAUAAUUCUCGCCUUAGAAGUUUCCACUCGAGUGCGUGUCGUCAGUGGAACAUGACAGACUUGUCAAUUUGAAACAUUGCUUCUUAUGGAAAUUUUAGAAAAGUAAUCAAAUACACUCAAGCUUUCAAGAACAAUAUAAUAUUGUUCAAUUGAACACUUCUGCAUGGAAAAGACGUAGUAUUUGUACAAAUUUGGUAGAUUUAUUUAUUAUUUAUUGUAUAGCGUAGUGAGGGCCAUCAUGAGAAUCAUCGGGUAACCAGUAAUGGUGUUUUUACCCUCGGUAAAUAAAUUAUUUUGACUUUUAAUCAGAAUUGAUGUGAUAUGAUGUUGAAUGCAUUGACUUUUGGUUACUUAUUUCUUUAGGUAUUACUGUCCCCCCACCGGGGUGAAAAAUAUUCUGUGUACGCC
This 1953-nucleotide long non-coding RNA is filed under the name Paramuricea clavata. Lineage: Eukaryota; Metazoa; Cnidaria; Anthozoa; Malacalcyonacea; Plexauridae. The record is from RNAcentral.